CACAGCGGUGGAGCAUGUUGCUUAAUUCGACGCAACGCGAAGAACCUUACCGGGGCUUGACGUGUACUGGAAGUGCUCAGAGAUGAGUUACGCUCUUCGGAGCUGGUACAUUAGGUGCUGCACGGCUGUCGUCAGCUCGUGCCGUGAGGUGUUGGGUUAAGUCCUCUAACGAGCGCAACCCCUUUCCACAGUUGCCAACAGGUAAUGCUGGGAACUCUGUGGACACUGCCGGUGACAAACCGGAGGAAGGUGGGGAUGACGUCAAGUCAUCGUGGCCCUUACGUCCCGGGCUGCAAACGUGCUACAAUGGCUGGUACAAAGGGAAGCGAGCCCGCGAGGUGGAGCGAAUCCCAGAAAACCUGUCUCAGUCCGGAUUGAAGUCUGCAACUCGACUUCAUGAAGGCGGAAUCGCUAGUAACCGCGAAUCAGCAGGUCGCGGUGAAUACGUUCCCGGGCCUU
RNAcentral lists this ribosomal RNA (459 nucleotides) under uncultured Latescibacterota bacterium. RNAcentral describes it as "bacterial SSU rRNA". It matches the Rfam family "Bacterial small subunit ribosomal RNA", at positions 924 to 1382 of the family's 1533-position model. Lineage: Bacteria; Pseudomonadati; Candidatus Latescibacterota. The record is from RNAcentral.